Long non-coding RNA from Pezoporus occidentalis (night parrot), 471 nucleotides. RefSeq lists it as uncharacterized. The record is from RefSeq and is a predicted model, not a curated record. The transcript has 2 exons. Lineage: Eukaryota; Metazoa; Chordata; Aves; Psittaciformes; Psittacidae.
CACUGGGGGACUCAAACCACAUCCAACCCAAGCAUUUCUGCCACAGCAAGUUCUGGGAAGUAGUAAGCCGAGGUGGAACAUUAGGAAAGCAGGGAAAAGCAGAGGAAAAAGUGAGAUGGAUCGUGUAAUGUGGAAAGCGAAUGCCGGGGGGUGCUGGGAGUUGCAGCAUGGAACAAGUUAAUCGUGUUUGUUGCUGGGGAGAAUUCCAGGAGGGGACCCGGCCGGGAGAAGCGCGGACACCCCCCAUCCCUCCACCCCGGGGGGGGGGGGGGGGGGGGGGGCACAAGCAUUUCUCGUUCAUCCCGUGUUGAAAUGGUUAAAAAAGACCUGCCCGCAGUGAGAUGCGGGAUUUCCACAAGUGGUUGACCCCGCAGGAUAGGGAAAAAAUAGGUAUAAAAGCGUUUUGGAGCAAGCUUCCUAAAUUAAAUGAUUUUUGAAUAUAUUUUUUCUUACAAAUAGCGAAAGAAACAA